This 200-nucleotide long non-coding RNA is filed under the name Zostera marina. Its description in RNAcentral is "long non-coding RNA (ZMAR_LNC003002)". The record is from RNAcentral. Lineage: Eukaryota; Viridiplantae; Streptophyta; Magnoliopsida; Alismatales; Zosteraceae.
AAAUAAAGGAAAAGGUAAAAAUAUGUUUAUUCAAAAUUGCAAAGAUGAUGAAUGAAAAAUUUUACAGGCUCCUAAUUAAAAUUAAUACGACGACGCAAGCGGCGAGGGACCUGAUCCAGCGGGGAAGCACCGCGGCGGGGACGCCUCCGACGUCGGCCACGUGGAGGAAUAGAAGAAGAAGAGGCAGGCGGAAGAUCGCC